Molecule: small nucleolar RNA, 66 nt
Filed under: Bombyx mori (domestic silkworm)
Lineage: Eukaryota; Metazoa; Arthropoda; Insecta; Lepidoptera; Bombycidae
Description: Bm_45
Source: RNAcentral
AAAAAAAAUGAUGACUAAUAGUAUCGCCCCUAUCUGAAAUAAUGUUGACCGAUCAUUUCUGAUUUU